Molecule: long non-coding RNA, 544 nt
Organism: Harmonia axyridis
Lineage: Eukaryota; Metazoa; Arthropoda; Insecta; Coleoptera; Coccinellidae
Exons: 3
Source: RefSeq, a predicted model, not a curated record
UUUUUGUCCAAACUGCAAACAGUCUUAUAAUAUUACUAGAAAUGGUUCCUAAAUCAGGAAGACCCCCAUUGAAAUUUCUCCAUACAUAAUUGGACGGAUGUCUGCAAGAAAAUAUAACUGAAUAAAUUUCACUAUUGGAAGAAAAUUAGAUUAGAAUACAGUAUUUCUACAAUAAUUAAUAUGAAAGAUUGAUUAGUAUGCUCCACAUUUGAUGAAAGCAUGAAUUUUAAUGAGUGGUGUUGGGAGUGCAGGGUUCACACAGAAUUAUUUUGUCUUGAAAUUACAGCCACAGUGGAAAACAAACUUUUUGAAAUGACUUGAAUCUAGAUGUGAAUUAUGAAUGCACUGAUUGAAAAGCAAGAGUCUCGAGUAUGGCUGCCGUAUCUGGGGUCCAAUAUACAACAUUCAUGUCCAUCUACUAGAGUCAAUAUGAUGAUUAGAUCACCAAUGUAUAUGUGCAAACAGUUCAAAGGGAUAUGUAUUGAUGUUGAUGUCUUCAAAAAUGGAGUUGGAACUUCUAAGCUUAAACUCAAGGAUUUACUGU